This 285-nucleotide ribosomal RNA is filed under the name Triticum aestivum (bread wheat). Its description in RNAcentral is "partial small subunit ribosomal RNA". The record is from RNAcentral. Lineage: Eukaryota; Viridiplantae; Streptophyta; Magnoliopsida; Poales; Poaceae.
UUCGCUCGAGCAGUUUGGGCCAUAGUUCAAGUAGCUUCAAAUUUAUACCCACCACGUAGUGCUCAUAACAUGUUCGGCAAUUGGUUGAGGGAUAUUGAUAAACAUUUUUCUGCACAUAUUCUUGUGGGGGCGGCUGCCUUAUGCUGGGCAUUGUGGCUUACCAGGAAUGAUGUGGUUCUUAAUAAAAAAUGGGCUUCAUCUCCUAUGCACGUUAUUCAUAUAUGUACGUGAUGGCUCCGUACUUGGUCUAUCCUGCAGAGGCCGUAUGACAGGGACCUUUUAUGA